UACACUGCCAGCAUUUCUGAACACACCCCCCGCUGAAUGUACAAAUUAUUAAAAUUAAAACAGAGAGGGACAGCUAUAUGUCGAAAUUAGGAUAUAUGUUUAUGAGUGUAUAGGUAUGGUUUAAUGAAAUAUAUGGACAUCGGAUGAUAUUAUCCAGUUAAAUAACAGUCAUAGAAUAGGUUUUUUUUAAGCCAGUGAUAUUUUAUAUGCAAAAUAUACUCUUCUCGCUCUUUCUAAAGAGCUCAGCUACAAUUUUUAUUUUUUGAAUAUUUUGUUUAAACGUCAUUCUAAGAAGUUAUCCAAGCAGAGUGGUGGUGAAGAUUUGAAAUUUUGUUCGAAGUAAACCACCCCAUAAGUGGUAAUUUUUUUUAAAAGUUAAAGUGCGUAAAUCGCCCACUGAAAAAUUGGAUUUUUUUUUAAAGUUAAUGAAGAAUCUUCUUACCAACGUUCAGCUCUAUAAUACGUAUCUGAGUAUUCAAAUCGAAAGGAAAAAAGACACAUAAAGCAAAGUACGAAUAGUGGUUGAUUUUCGGCGGACCCUGGUACCCAUUUAAGAACUGGGCCGCCACUCAAUUUUAAUUUAUACCAAAUUUCGUGGACUUUCCGUUGGUUUGUGCUCACUUUGAGUGAUCAUCGUUUGGGAUCUGGACGAACAGAAAAAUAGAGGUUUGAAGCUCCAACGAAAGAGGUUGGUUGCCGGACAUAUCCAUCCAAGUCGCCCGUCCACCGGAGCACCUCGCAGUCAUAUAGUCCCGGCUGUCUGACACCAAUAAGCCCCCUAUAACGAUCCUGAAAGA
Long non-coding RNA from Episyrphus balteatus (marmalade hoverfly), 797 nucleotides. RefSeq lists it as uncharacterized. The transcript is spliced from 3 exons. Lineage: Eukaryota; Metazoa; Arthropoda; Insecta; Diptera; Syrphidae. The record is from RefSeq and is a predicted model, not a curated record.